UACAGAGGGGGCGAGCGUUGUUCGGAAUUACUGGGCGUAAAGGGCGCGUAGGCGGCCAACUAAGUCGGACGUGAAAUCCCCUGGCUCAACCAGGGAACUGCGUCCGAUACUGAUUGGCUUGAAUCCGGGAGAGGGAUGUGGAAUUCCAGGUGUAGCGGUGAAAUGCGUAGAUAUCGGGAGGAACACCAGUGGCGAAGGCGAGUCUCUGGGAUGAUGCUGACGCUGAGGCGCGAAAGCCAGGGGAGCAAACGGG
RNAcentral lists this ribosomal RNA (253 nucleotides) under uncultured bacterium. RNAcentral's name for it is "partial 16S ribosomal RNA". It matches the Rfam family "Bacterial small subunit ribosomal RNA", at positions 524 to 776 of the family's 1533-position model. The record is from RNAcentral.